AAUGGAGGAAACUCUGAUGCAGCGAUGCCGCGUGAGUGAAGAAGGCCUUUGGGUUGUAAAGCUCUUUCGUCGGGGAAGAAAAUGACUGUACCCGAAUAAGAAGGUCCGGCUAACUUCGUGCCAGCAGCCGCGGUAAUACGAAGGGACCUAGCGUAGUUCGGAAUUACUGGGCUUAAAGAGUUCGUAGGUGGUUGAAAAAGUUGGUGGUGAAAUCCCAGAGCUUAACUCUGGAACUGCCAUCAAAACUUUUCAGCUAGAGUUUGAUAGAGGAAAGCAGAAUUUCUAGCGUAGAGGUGAAAUUCGUAGAUAUUAGAAAGAAUACCAAUUGCGAAGGCAGCUUUCUGGAUCAUUACUGACACUGAGGAACGAAAGCAUGGGUAGCGAAGAGGAUU
This 392-nucleotide ribosomal RNA is filed under the name uncultured Gammaproteobacteria bacterium. RNAcentral's name for it is "bacterial SSU rRNA". It matches the Rfam family "Bacterial small subunit ribosomal RNA", at positions 370 to 779 of the family's 1533-position model. The record is from RNAcentral. Lineage: Bacteria; Pseudomonadati; Pseudomonadota; Gammaproteobacteria.